Molecule: non-coding RNA, 1085 nt
Organism: Leptonychotes weddellii (Weddell seal)
Lineage: Eukaryota; Metazoa; Chordata; Mammalia; Carnivora; Phocidae
Source: RefSeq, a predicted model, not a curated record
AUUCCUCAUAUCAAUCAGUGAGACAGGAAGAUGUUUUUAAGUGUAUUUUAUAUUUGGGGUCCCUGCUACCCCCAUUUGGUCCAAGACCUCUGGAACCCUGUGCUGUGAGUUUUUGUGUUGGUCCAGUGAAGUUUCCUACAGAACCUGGGAGUUGUUAGCAGCCCCUCGCUGCAGAGGUCAAAGGAGCUGCAGCAGAGAGGUUGUCAGGGUUCGAGCACUUUCCCACGUCUGGCCUGGCCCUGUGGGGCUGCCUGGGUCGGAUUUGGCAUCUGGGCACUGAGUCCCCCGUGUCUCAGCUGCCCUCCAGCUUCAGCGGGCCCAGUGAUGGAGACACAGGGGAGCCCCGCCCUCUGACACCCUCUCCCUGCCACGCAGCCGCUGCAGCUCCUGGGCCAGCUGUGCCAGGCGCAGGGCAUCCCUUUCCCGCCCAUCUCCCCCAGCCCUGAGGAGCAGCGCCAGCCUCACGAGUGCCACUUGUUUCUGGACCCAGCCUGCCCCGACGCCCCGGCUGUGCUGCACUUCCCUCUGGUGGAUGGCUCCUUCCGCGAGUACCGGGCCCCUGGCAUCCCGCGCCCCCCUGAGGAGAAGGCGGCCGGGGAGGUGAACCUGUCUUCCUCCGACUCCCCCUACCACUACUCGAAGCUGACCUACAGCCCGGAGGACACGGACAAGCUGCUCCGCCUGACCCAUUACAACAUCUGCAACAACCGGGAGCGGCUGCUGGAGGCGCUGCGGGGCGCCGUGCAGCGGAGGCGCAGGCGGCACCAGCCCCAGUGAGGGCGUGGGGCUCCCCUGCCGCCCGCCACACUCACCCCCAGAAGCUCCAGGCGAACAGGGCGAGUUUCCUCCCCCCGCGUUCCGGAGCCCCCAGCAAUCUCGCCACAUCCACAUGCGGGGACCUUGAGCAUCUUAAAAGCAAGGAGAACAUUCAGGGGGCUCUGGGGUCGCUGAGGUAGGCCCGGGGGACGAGGGCUUGAGCCCAAAGCAGUCUUGACCCUAUUUGCAGAAGCGCUCAAAGCCACGUGCCCUUCCCCGUUGCUACCUUGAGUAACUGUACCGAGUGAAAUAGAGCGGUUUAUGUAUCA